UAGUGCUCUGUGAAACUGAAAGCGUUGGUAACUUGGUGUUGGGAAGUGUGGAUUCGUACGGUCAUCUUAUUGUCUCUAAGCUAGAUAGUAGUGGUAAAGAUAUUGAUAGCCUUACAUAUUCAGUAUCGCCACGGGAUUCAGGUGUUGGAGAAGGUAGUUUUCAGUCCAGGUCAAUGGUCAAUGGCAGCUGUAGCCCAUAGCUUCUGCAAAAGCAUUGAUGUUUAUGAUCAAGACAUUCACCUGCGAACUUUGCGUACACUCUGGUAUCCAUCCUCAUUGAACUUUUUGCAGAAUUUAAAUCAUGGAGAUGGAAGUUCAAUUUUAGCCGUCACUGAGGGCUGCCAGCUGACAAUAUGGGACUUGAGAAUGAAAGAAAAUGGUGGCUGUCUACAUCGAAUUUGUGGUUCU
This 408-nucleotide unclassified non-coding RNA is filed under the name Hevea brasiliensis (rubber tree). The record is from RNAcentral. Lineage: Eukaryota; Viridiplantae; Streptophyta; Magnoliopsida; Malpighiales; Euphorbiaceae.